This 400-nucleotide ribosomal RNA is filed under the name uncultured bacterium. RNAcentral describes it as "bacterial SSU rRNA". It matches the Rfam family "Bacterial small subunit ribosomal RNA", at positions 359 to 776 of the family's 1533-position model. The record is from RNAcentral.
GAAUUUUGGGCAAUGGGCGAAAGCCUGACCCAGCAACGCCGCGUGAAGGAUGAAGUAUUUCGGUAUGUAAACUUCGAAAGAAUGGGAAGAAUAAAUGACGGUACCAUUUAUAAGGUCCGGCUAACUACGUUCCAGCAGCCGCGGUAAUACGUAGGGACCAAGCGUUGUUCGGAUUUACGGGGCGUAAAGGGCGCGUAGGCGGCGUGACAAGUCACUUGUGAAAUCUCUGAGCUUAACUCAGAACGGCCAAGUGAAACUGUUGUGCUAGAGUGCAGAAGGGGCAAUCGGAAUUCUUGGUGUAGCGGUGAAAUGCGUAGAUAUCAAGAGGAACACCUGAGGUGAAGACGGGUUGCUGGGCUGACACUGACGCUGAGGCGCGAAAGCCAGGGGAGCAAACGGG